Mustela putorius furo (domestic ferret) is the source of this 1821-nucleotide long non-coding RNA. The record is from Ensembl. Lineage: Eukaryota; Metazoa; Chordata; Mammalia; Carnivora; Mustelidae.
UCCAGAGGCAUCUGGGGGGGCAUAGUCGGUUGGGCAUCUGACUCAUGGUUUUGGCUCAGGUCAUGAUCUCAGGGUCCUGGGCUAGAGACCCGCAUGGGGCCCCCCACUCACUGGGGAGUCUGCUUCUCCUAUCCCUCCCUCUCUGCUGCUCUGUCCCUCGGCUCUGCCCUUGAGGGUUCUCUUUCUCUCAAAUAAAUAAAUCUUAAAAAAAAAUUCUUCCAUGUGGCAGUUCCAACAUGGGGCUUCAAAUUUCUUGACACUCCUUUCAUUAAGAGUUGGGGGUAUGUCCCCACCCCUGCGUCUGGAUGGGCUGUGGCUGCUGCAGACAGAAGCCCAGAGCAGCGCUGCCCCAACUUUUUUCCAUGAUUAUCUUCUAAGGAUCCUGUUUACUCAUUUUCUCUUCCUAGAAAUGCCCCCCACCAAGCUAUGAAAUUUUAAUACUAAAGACAUGCUGUAUACGUCCAUGUUCUACUGAUCUGUCCAUCAGUCGAUCCGUCUACCAAUGGAUCAUCUAUGUUUUGUAUAUGAAAAGAGUAGCAUCGUUUUCACCCUCCAAGAAGCAAUGUUCGUCCCUGUCGGAAGGCCCGGAUGGAGCCUGGGGACAGUGACCCUGUGUGACAUCUGAGGCCAGGCCAGGAGGAAUCCCGUAGCUCCUUGCUCAGGCUCUAGAAAUGCCGGUGCUGGGGACUGUCCCACUCAGAACCCGGCGGCCCCAUGCAGAGGCUACCUGUACGGUCUUGGGUCCACAGUCAGGACUGGGCUCCGUGUUGGGUCACCCUGGCUCCUGUUCCAGACACACGGGCAAAGAAGCUUCUGGAUGACAGUGGCACCCAGCCAUGUGAGUCACCCCGCCAGCAUUAUGUCAUCCCAGUUGAGGCCCCAGACAUGAGGGAGAAGAGACAGGCUGUCCCCUCUCAGCCCUUUUGAAUUCCUGACCACGGAAUCUGUGACAUGACAAAGUGAUUGCUGUUUUAUGUCACAAAGAAAAUCUAAGUAUGGAUCACGGGACCAUUUGGCUCUGUCCGUUCCAGGGUCGGGCAAGACGGUAAAGAGGAAGGUCCUGCCUCUGUCGUGGGCCCGGAGGGCUGUGGGGAGGCUGCUGGCUGCUUCCAAGGGCCCCUCCGGGACUCAGCUCUGCAAAGGGGACAGAGGCUGGGAGCUCCCACAUGGCUUCCUUGGUCUCUUGGCCUCCGAAAAGUCCUACAUCCUCUACUCCCCACUCAACAGAACAACUGGUCUUCAACAGUUACCAGCAGGACAGAAGCUCAUCAUGAAGCAUGAGCCAAGGGCUUUCCUCGUUCAGAGGACUGACUGAACAAAAUGUCUACUGGGGCCAGGUUCCAAGGAAUAGGGUCCUGGAGAAGGAAAAGAACUUGGACUGGAGCUGGAAAGGAGCUGGUGGAGGGUGUUUCUGGGAGGUGGGACCCAGGGAGGGAAUGCACCUUCACCCUGGUCUCUGAUGGGUGUGUUUGCCCUCUGAUGAAAGAGCUAACUGGCUGUCUUUGGACGCUUCUUUGAGUGGACGUUUGAGGUUGAUGGCCCAGCCUCUCGGCCAUGUUGGGAAUGUGAGAAAGCAGCAAUCCCAGCUUCCCCCUCCUUCCCAGCAUUUCCCUAGCACUUAGAGGAGGGCAGGGCUGGAUCCAUGGAACAGGUGCCCGCCUGCGUCCAGCUGUAGGCAGAAUAACACCACCCCUCAGAGAUGUCCUAACCCCCAGAUCUGUGAAUGUGUUAGGUUACAUAGCAUAGCAAGGGGGAAUUUCAUAAUGCAGAUGGAGUUGAUUGCCAACCAGCUGACCUUGAGAUGGGGAGAUUAUCCUGGGU